UAGACAACUAACUCAAAAUUGUAUCUUCGCUUUAAUCACUGCUCUGGUGAUAUUUGCAUUAAUGAAGGAGAAAAGAAAGGAUCCCCAACAGAUGGAGAAGGUGGCUCUCUGACUAGUGAAAGGACAACUUCCAGUAAAAGAAGGCACUGAGAAUUAAGUGCUACGUGGGAGUAGUUGCCAAUUUUUGCAAUGGAGGCUGCAUAGAUUCAAGGACUUCCUCGGGUGCUCCAGGAGCUUGUCAUUCCAGAGGCAGAGCAGCCCAGAAGUCCUGGGAUUUACACCUCUAGUAGAAACCCUCAACCAGAGAAGGAUGGAAGUCAAUGGGUGGAUUGGAAAGCUCCAUUCUGUAUCAUCCUAACUCAAGGACCUGGACUGAAGGAUUUCUGCUUUCAAGAAGAAAAAAAAAAAUAGAAGACAUGUUUACUAAUACACUGCUACGCCAUCUGGGAUGGGGUGACGCCUGGAUGAGAUGUCAUUUUAAAGGACAUUUCUGGGACACGCUAGCAACAAGGCAAGUUUUCAGGUGGCUGCCAUUUCCUUGUCAUUUACCUUCUAUGGACAGGAGAGAGUCU
Molecule: long non-coding RNA, 572 nt
Organism: Symphalangus syndactylus (siamang)
Lineage: Eukaryota; Metazoa; Chordata; Mammalia; Primates; Hylobatidae
Source: RefSeq, a predicted model, not a curated record